GUCUGAGGCCUUUUAUAGUUGUAAGAUACAUUUUCGAAAGUGUCCCAAGUUACUUUAUGUCAUAACUUUUAUCGUAUUUUACUGGAUUGUUAACUAACGUAUGAUACAAAUUUCAAAUUAGCAUUUCAUUUCCUGAUAAAUAGGCAAUAUUCGAUCAUGACUACACGAACUCUCCUUAUGGUAGCGUUAACACAAAUAUAUACUAAAAGCAGCA
RNAcentral lists this long non-coding RNA (214 nucleotides) under Mytilus galloprovincialis (Mediterranean mussel). Lineage: Eukaryota; Metazoa; Mollusca; Bivalvia; Mytilida; Mytilidae. The record is from RNAcentral.